RNAcentral lists this long non-coding RNA (542 nucleotides) under Rattus norvegicus (Norway rat). RNAcentral describes it as "long non-coding RNA NONRATT029931". Lineage: Eukaryota; Metazoa; Chordata; Mammalia; Rodentia; Muridae. The record is from RNAcentral.
UACUGGCCACAGUAGUUAGGGAACCUAGGAAGAUAGUACCUGACAACAGAAGAGAAUUCCUGGCUAAAGAUCAGUGUGCCUAAUACGAAGAAAAAGGACAUUGGGUCAGGGACUGCCCCAGAAAGAACAAGAGGGGACACUGGAGAGCCUCUUGGUGCUGGCUAUGCACAGAGAUGGAAGGGAAGCCCGCCCAGUUGUUUUGUGGAUACAGGGACCCAAUGCUCUGUGCUCCUAUGCUCCAGUGGGCCAGUAUCCAAAGACCUUUGGUACAGGGGCCUACUGACAACAAACAAUACUUAUGGACUGCCCGAAGAACAGUGGACCUUGGCGUGGGCCGGGUAACCCACCCACUAAUUCAUGGUCAUCCCUGACUGCCCCUAUCCCUUGCUCAUGAGAAAAUUGCUCUCCAAAUUGGCUUGCGUGGGCUGAAAUGGCUGGAUGAGGCCAUGUGUAUACAUAUCUAUAGACUGUAUAUGUAGAGCUUAAGACCUGUCUCAGUACACCAGUAACUGAUGCUGGGAGAUGAAUGAGUUAGUGCUUUU